CGUUAGCGGCGGACGGGUGAGUAACACGUGGGUAACCUACCUAUAAGACUGGGACAACUUCGGGAAACCGGAGCUAAUACCGGAUAAGAUAUCGAACCGCAUGGUUCGAUAGUGAAAGAUGGUUUUGCUAUCACUUAUAGAUGGACCCGCGCCGUAUUAGCUAGUUGGUGAGGUAACGGCUCACCAAGGCAACGAUACGUAGCCGACCUGAGAGGGUGAUCGGCCACACUGGAACUGAGACACGGUCCAGACUCCGUACGGGAGGCAGCAGGA
RNAcentral lists this ribosomal RNA (273 nucleotides) under uncultured Staphylococcus sp. RNAcentral describes it as "partial 16S ribosomal RNA". It matches the Rfam family "Bacterial small subunit ribosomal RNA", at positions 90 to 354 of the family's 1533-position model. The record is from RNAcentral. Lineage: Bacteria; Bacillati; Bacillota; Bacilli; Caryophanales; Staphylococcaceae.